ACAACAGCCGGCGACACGCGGCAGAGUUGCAGCAGCCGGAGACGCGGCCUAGACGGAAGCGCAGCAGCCGGCCUGGUCAGAGGCGCAGCCUCGCAGGGAGCUGACGAGGCGCAGCAGCCAUGCGGAGUCACUAUCGCUUGCAACGACUGCGGCCGCGACGGCGCGACGGCGCAACGGCGCUCUGCCCCUCGCGCCGGCAGCAGGCCUGCCCCUUUCCCGAGUCCCGACAGCGCCGCCACGGCGCUUUUCCCCUCACGCUGGCGGCCGGCCUGCCCGCCUUCCCGAGUCCCGACUCGCGCCGUUGCGGUUGCACCGCCUCCGGCCUCCCCGACGCGCGUCGGCGCGCGCGUCCCGCCCCGGCGGCCGGCGGCCGCCGCCCGGCCGUCAUCCCGCAUCCGGCGGCCCCCCCCCUCCGGUGAGCAUUGCGCCACUGCUUCUCCGGCUGUCUGGCUCUCCUCUCCCUCAGUCCCUCUGCUCUCCCCCUUCCAAUAG
This 492-nucleotide long non-coding RNA is filed under the name Oryza sativa Indica Group (long-grained rice). Its description in RNAcentral is "lncRNA OsPr106_12g0015710". The record is from RNAcentral. Lineage: Eukaryota; Viridiplantae; Streptophyta; Magnoliopsida; Poales; Poaceae.